UUGGAGUUAACGAGUCGUCUACUUUGGUCUUGUCUUUUGGGAAGUCUCAGAAAGUGUCCAUUAGCAUUUUCAGAUGAAAACACUGAAAAAAGUUUUCCAAGCAGUACUUCAUCCAAUUAAUAAUUUGUCUUUCAAUUUAAUUUACCAUUAUUUGUUUUAUUUUUCAAGUAAUACAUUUUUUGUUCAAAUGAUUGAGGAGAGACGAUGGUGGCACUAAUAUUGUGAGUGCAACAAUUUAACGACCACAUUUAAUAGACAUGGCUGCUGUUUGAAAGAGUAAGUUUAAAGUAAUUAAUGGUAUAAAUACAAAAAUGGAUGAAUAUACUUCUGUUCUAUCUAGGUUCAGAGCCAUCUUAAAGACUAUCUUGUUUUUGAAGGAAGAAGAAAUUUGGAAGGAAGAGAUGCUUUGGAAGUAAAAGUUGUCAAUGACAAGCCUGACAUCCCCCACAUCACCACCCAUUUUUACAGUAAACCAGAAUUCAGCUGACAAGACAGACUCCAGUAAGAAUCCUCAGCGCUGAUCAAGCAAGUCCACAACUAACCCAUCUAGAUUGGGAAUCAUCUUGGAAGAAAACUUUGUAAUGGAUGAACCGACCGAUCUCAGGGCUUCUAUGUCCAUUUUUUCAGACUGAUUUAUGCCCUGCACCUGGACUAAGUGUUUGAAAAGCACUUUAUAUUUUAUUCAGCAGGUAAUGCUCAACCUCGGAAAAGGUGAGUUAGCACAUAAAAUUCAGUACUGCCAGUAUUUUGGAAUAAAACCAUAUAGUUUUGAUGUCGUUUGUUGUGAUUCUGAGGUAAACUGUUCUAUGUUAGUUUGUUAAACUAGUUUUUUUUAUGUUUU
Long non-coding RNA from Cyprinus carpio (common carp), 841 nucleotides. RefSeq lists it as uncharacterized. The transcript has 3 exons. The record is from RefSeq and is a predicted model, not a curated record. Lineage: Eukaryota; Metazoa; Chordata; Actinopteri; Cypriniformes; Cyprinidae.